RNAcentral lists this ribosomal RNA (433 nucleotides) under uncultured bacterium. RNAcentral's name for it is "partial 16S ribosomal RNA". It matches the Rfam family "Bacterial small subunit ribosomal RNA", at positions 29 to 507 of the family's 1533-position model. The record is from RNAcentral.
AACGAACGCUGGCGGCAGGCCUAACACAUGCAAGUCGAGCGAGACCUUCGGGUCUAGCGGCGGACGGGUGAGUAACGCGUGGGAACGUGCCCUUUUCUGCGGAAUAGCCUCGGGAAACUGAGCGUAAUACCGCAUACGCCCUUUGGGGGAAAGAUUUAUCGGAAAAGGAUCGGCCCGCGUUGGAUUAGGUAGUUGGUGGGGUAAUGGCCUACCAAGCCUACGAUCCAUAGCUGGUUUGAGAGGAUGAUCAGCCACACUGGGACUGAGACACGGCCCAGACUCCUACGGGAGGCAGCAGUGGGGAAUCUUAGACAAUGGGGGCAACCCCGAUCUAGCCAUGCCGCGUGAGUGAUGAAGGCCUUAGGGUUGUAAAGCUCUUUCAGCUGGGAAGAUAAUGACGGUACCAGCAGAAGAAGCCCCGGCUAACUCCGUG